CUGGGAGGGGCAUGCGAUCGCUUUGCGUAAAAGCAAAGAGGAAAGUCCGGGCUCCGUAGAGCAAGGUGGUCGAUAACGUCGACCAGUCGCAAGACUAGGGAAAGUGCAACAGAAAGCAAACCGCUGAGCUCGCUCAGUAAGGGUGAAACGGUGGGGUAAGAGCCCACCAGAGCCCAGGGCGACCUGGGCUGCUAGGUAAACCCCACCUGGAGCAAGAACAAACAGAACGACAUGUGCCGGCUUGCUGGCUCAUAGAUUGCUGCUCGCAAUCUCGUGCGUUCGGGUUGAUCGCUUGACGCCACAAGCAAUUGUGGCGCUAGAUAAAUGGUCGCAGCGCGAAAGCGAACAGGACCCGGCUUACGAACCUCCCAGGCUU
This 376-nucleotide RNase P RNA is filed under the name Planctomycetota bacterium. Its description in RNAcentral is "RNase P RNA component class A". It matches the Rfam family "Bacterial RNase P class A". Rfam says of the family: Ribonuclease P (RNase P) is a ubiquitous endoribonuclease, found in archaea, bacteria and eukarya as well as chloroplasts and mitochondria. Its best characterised activity is the generation of mature 5'-ends of tRNAs by cleaving the 5'-leader elements of precursor-tRNAs. Cellular RNase Ps are ribonucleoproteins. Lineage: Bacteria; Pseudomonadati; Planctomycetota. The record is from RNAcentral.